This is a long non-coding RNA of Maniola jurtina (meadow brown), 170 nucleotides long. RefSeq lists it as uncharacterized. NCBI's taxonomy places the organism in Eukaryota, Metazoa, Arthropoda, Insecta, Lepidoptera, Nymphalidae. The record is from RefSeq and is a predicted model, not a curated record. The transcript has 3 exons.
GUUAAUGUACAUUUAAAGCACCUCGUCAGCAGUAUGAAAUUGUCCAGCAAUUUCUAUUACAGUCCUCUUGGAAAUGGCUGGCGUGCGGCCAGUAAAGACACGAUUACAGUCCUCUGUAAUGAAAUCCUUUCUUCAGUUAAAAGUAUAUCCGAGCAAGUGAGAGAAAACAA